UGGCAGGCAAGCCAGUAGCACAGGUGGAAGGUAGCCCAGAGAAGAGAUACACAUCCAACAGCAAAGGGCCAAUUUUGUAUGCAGAAGGCCACAGAUUCAAUCAAAAGCAUCAUCAGGCUUACGGUAUCCGGGGAGAAACUACAGGUUUCUAGAUGGCUAAACCAGAAUGAACAGAUUACUUGCUGCAAAGCAGCUGUAAUACUGCUGGAUCACUUCUCUUUAUUCUAAAGAAGAAAGACAUUAAAUAAAGGAUAUUUAUGAGCUACUGAAUGGUAUAUUUAUUAUCACUGCAAAAAGGACCAACCGACUUAGCAUCCCCUAACAUCGAUUCCAGCUAAAUAUCCCUCUGAGAAGCCAACUGUCAAAUCAUCUCCCACAACUCAAGAGGCAACGGUUUUCUUCUUUUGUUCCAUCCCCCUCUCCCCCACGUUUCUUUUCCACUGGCUAACUUUCAGCCUUCAGUGAGUAGAGUCAUAUCCAGCUCCUUU
This is a long non-coding RNA of Podarcis raffonei (Aeolian wall lizard), 488 nucleotides long. RefSeq lists it as uncharacterized. The record is from RefSeq and is a predicted model, not a curated record. The transcript is spliced from 4 exons. Lineage: Eukaryota; Metazoa; Chordata; Lepidosauria; Squamata; Lacertidae.